RNAcentral lists this ribosomal RNA (497 nucleotides) under uncultured bacterium. Its description in RNAcentral is "partial 16S ribosomal RNA". It matches the Rfam family "Bacterial small subunit ribosomal RNA", at positions 28 to 507 of the family's 1533-position model. The record is from RNAcentral.
GAUGAACGCUGGCGGCGUGCCUAAUACAUGCAAGUCGAGCGAACAGACGAGGAGCUUGCUCCUCUGACGUUAGCGGCGGACGGGUGAGUAACACGUGGAUAACCUACCUAUAAGACUGGGAUAACUUCGGGAAACCGGAGCUAAUACCGGAGAAUAUAUUGAACCGCAUGGUUCAAUAGUGAAAGACGGUUUUGCUGUCACUUAUAGAUGGAUCCGCGCCGCAUUAGCUAGUUGGUAAGGUAACGGCUUACCAAGGCAACGAUGCGUAGCCGACCUGAGAGGGUGCUCGGCCACACUGGAACUGAGACACGGUCCAGACUCCUACGGGAGGCAGCAGUAGGGAAUCUUCCGCAAUGGGCGAAAGCUUGACGGAGCAACGCCGCGUGAGUGAUGAAGGUCUUCGGAUCGUAAAACUCUGUUAUUAGGGAAGAACAAAUGUGUAAGUAACUAUGCACGUCUUGACGGUACCUAAUCAGAAAGCCACGGCUAACUACGUG